Molecule: ribosomal RNA, 652 nt
Filed under: Streptosporangium sp.
Lineage: Bacteria; Bacillati; Actinomycetota; Actinomycetes; Streptosporangiales; Streptosporangiaceae
Description: bacterial SSU rRNA
Rfam family: Bacterial small subunit ribosomal RNA
Source: RNAcentral
GUACUCGAGCGGCGAACGGGUGAGUAACACGUGAGUAACCUGCCCCUGACUCUGGGAUAAGCCCGGGAAACUGGGUCUAAUACCGGAUACGACACCUCCUGGCAUCGGGUGGGUGUGGAAAGUUUUUUCGGUUGGGGAUGGAUUCCCGGCUAAUCAGCUUGUUGGUGGGGUAACGGCCUACCAAGGCGACGACGGGUAGCCGGCCUGAGAGGGCGACCGGCCACACUGGGACUGAGACACGGCCCAGACUCCUACGGGAGGCAGCAGUGGGGAAUAUUGCGCAAUGGGCGAAAGCCUGACGCAGCGACGCCGCGUGGGGGAUGACGGCCUUCGGGUUGUAAACCUCUUUCAGCAGGGACGAAGUUGACGUGUACCUGCAGAAGAAGCGCCGGCUAACUACGUGCCAGCAGCCGCGGUAAUACGUAGGGCGCAAGCGUUGUCCGGAAUUAUUGGGCGUAAAGAGCUCGUAGGUGGCUUGUCACGUCGGGUGUGAAAGCUUGGGGCUUAACUCCAGGUCUGCAUUCGAUACGGGCUGGCUAGAGGUAGGUAGGGGAGAACGGAAUUCCUGGUGUAGCGGUGAAAUGCGCAGAUAUCAGGAGGAACACCGGUGGCGAAGGCGGUUCUCUGGGCCUUACCUGACGCUGAGGAGCGA